GACGAACGCUGGCGGCGUGCUUAACACAUGCAAGUCGAACGGAAAGGCCCUGCUUUUGUGGGGUGCUCGAGUGGCGAACGGGUGAGUAACACGUGAGUAACCUGCCCUUGACUUUGGGAUAACUUCGGAAACUGGGGCUAAUACCGGAUAGGAGCUCCUGCUGCAUGGUGGGGGUUGGAAAGUUUCGGCGGUUGGGGAUGGACUCGCGGCUUAUCAGCUUGUUGGUGGGGUAGUGGCUUACCAAGGCUUUGACGGGUAGCCGGCCUGAGAGGGUGACCGGCCACAUUGGGACUGAGAUACGGCCCAGAAUCCUACGGGAGGCAGCAGUGGGGAAUAUUGCACAAUGGGCGGAAGCCUGAUGCAGCAACGCCGCGUGCGGGAUGACGGCCUUCGGGUUGUAAACCGCUUUCGCCUGUGACGAAGCGUGAGUGACGGUAAUGGGUAAAGAAGCACCGGCUAACUACGUG
RNAcentral lists this ribosomal RNA (467 nucleotides) under uncultured bacterium. RNAcentral's name for it is "partial 16S ribosomal RNA". It matches the Rfam family "Bacterial small subunit ribosomal RNA", at positions 28 to 507 of the family's 1533-position model. The record is from RNAcentral.